This is a non-coding RNA of Theobroma cacao (cacao), 1056 nucleotides long. NCBI's taxonomy places the organism in Eukaryota, Viridiplantae, Streptophyta, Magnoliopsida, Malvales, Malvaceae. The record is from RefSeq and is a predicted model, not a curated record.
AUUUUUGGCUUCAAAUCUUUAUUUUUAAGGUUAAAAGGUUUGGUUGCUCUUUAUAGCUUCAAGCACCAAGGUUCGAAGAUAGUCGGAUCUUAGGUAAAGGUGCUUCCUCCUAUUCAUCUUAUGGUAGGUUUACCAAAACACCCCAUGACAGUAUACAUGCCAGAGUCACUCCACUAAUAGUCAAGGUCUUUUGUAUGUGUAUGUGGCUAUUUAAAUGUAAUUUAUGAGAUUUUGGAUGAAAAAUUGUUCACUCAGUGUUGCACCCAUUGUGAAGGGUGAUAGGUUCAAUUUGAACCAAUGUCCCAAAAAUGAUCUUAAAAGGGAAAGUACGAAAAGUAUUCCAUAUGCUCCAAUUGUUGGAAACUUAAUGUAUGCUCAGGUGUGUACUAGAGUAGACAUUGCAUUUGCGGUUGGAAUGUUGGGAAGAUAUCAAAAUAACUUAGGAUUAGAUCAUUGGAAAGCUUUAAAGAAGGUUAUGAGGUACUUUCAAGGAACUAAAUAUUUCAUGCUUACAUAUGCAAGAUUCGACAAUCUGCAAGUAGUUAGAUACUCAGAUUUAGAUUUUGCUAGUUGUGUUGACUCUUGUAAAUCAACAUCUGGAUAUAACUUCAUAUUUGAUGGAGGAGCUAUAUCUUGGAGAAGUGCUAAGCAAUCCCUAAUUGUUGCUUCUACCAUGGAAGCAAAGUUUGUUUCUUGUUUUGAGGCAACAUCAUAAGGCAUUUGGUUAAAGAGUUUCAUAUCUGGGCUACAAAUUGCUAAGUCUAUCGAGAAGCCAUUAAAGUUGUAUUGUGACAAUUCAUCGGUUGUGUUCUUUGCUAAGAACAAUAAGAGUGGAAGUCGAAGUAAACACAUCGGCAUUAAAUACUUACCUGUCAAAGAGCACAUAAAAGCAAAUAAAGUGCUCAUUGAACACAUUCACAUUAAGUUUAUGAUUGCAGAUCUUCUGACAAAAGGCAUGCCACCAAAGUUGUUUAAGGAUCACGUUUCGCUAAUGGGACUUAGUUCUAUCUUGUCAUAUACUAUUUGAAUUGAGAUGCUAGCAUGUUAUAUUGUGAA